This 415-nucleotide ribosomal RNA is filed under the name Hololena curta. RNAcentral's name for it is "partial 16S ribosomal RNA". It matches the Rfam family "Bacterial large subunit ribosomal RNA", at positions 1857 to 2598 of the family's 2925-position model. The record is from RNAcentral. Lineage: Eukaryota; Metazoa; Arthropoda; Arachnida; Araneae; Agelenidae.
AUCUGCUCAAUGAAAUUUUCAAUAGCCGCAACUAUGUUGUGCUAAGGUAGCAUAAUCAUUUGUCUUUUAAUUAAAGACUAGAACGAAAGAUUUAACAUUUUCAUUUCUAUCUAAAAUAUACUUUUUUAAAACUAUCCUAAAUAUAAAAAGAUAUUUAUAUAAAAAAAAGACGAUAAGACCCUAUUGAACUUAACUGAAGUUUAACUGGGGCAGUUAAUUAAUUAAAAUUUUAAUUUUAUUAAUAAUUAAACAAACCUAAUAUAAUUAAAUUUUAAUCAAGUUACCAUAGGGAUAACAGCGUAAUAAUUUUCUUAAGAUCUUAUUUAAAAAAUAGUUUGCGACCUCGAUGUUGAAUUAAUAACCUAAUAAAUGCAAAAAUUUAAUAAAGGAAGUCUGUUCGACUUUUAAUUAAUUC